GUGCCUGUAGCUCAAUUGGACAGAGCGUUAGCCUCCGGAGCUAAAGGUUGUGGGUUCGACCCCCGCCAGGCACACCA
This 77-nucleotide transfer RNA is filed under the name Lentisphaerota bacterium. RNAcentral describes it as "Lentisphaerae bacterium (anaerobic digester metagenome) tRNA-Arg". It matches the Rfam family "tRNA". Rfam says of the family: Transfer RNA (tRNA) molecules are approximately 80 nucleotides in length. Their secondary structure includes four short double-helical elements and three loops (D, anti-codon, and T loops). Further hydrogen bonds mediate the characteristic L-shaped molecular structure. tRNAs have two regions of fundamental functional importance: the anti-codon, which is responsible for specific mRNA codon recognition, and the 3' end, to which the tRNAs corresponding amino acid is attached (by aminoacyl-tRNA synthetases). tRNAs cope with the degeneracy of the genetic code in two manners: having more than one tRNA (with a specific anti-codon) for a particular amino acid; and 'wobble' base-pairing, i.e. permitting non-standard base-pairing at the 3rd anti-codon position. RNAcentral also lists the same sequence under 5 other names. Lineage: Bacteria; Pseudomonadati; Lentisphaerota. The record is from RNAcentral.